UGCCGGAUCAUUAACGAUCAAACCUAACAAAGAAAAUGUUACGCAGUGUUGGUCCAAGGACCUUCACGAAGAAGACUGCAAGGGCGGCACUGCUAUUUGCUGCGUAGUCUCAGAGUGGUAUUUACGUCCUACCGUCUCUGAGCAGGCUUGUUUGUGGUCUAUAAACUCUUUAACGGCUUUCGUUGGCUUCUAAGUUUCUCGGAGCAAUUGUCCGCCUCCGUCCGUGGUUGCGUUGACGAGAAACGGUACGUGGUCUUCGUGAUCGCGAGAAUUAAUGAGUGCCAGUGAGCGGCGCCGCCAACAAAAAAACCCCAUGUUUGAAAUUUUUUGGAAGAAAUUUUUAGUCUUAUCGGUGGAUCACUCGGUUCGUAGAUCGAUGAAGAACGCAGCCAACUGCGAUAAAUAGUGCGAACUGCAGAUAUUUUGAGCACUAAAGUUUCGAAUGCACAUUGCGCCAUUGGAUUUUAUCCUUUGGCACGUCUGGCUCAGGGUCGUAAAUAAAACACCCCAAGCAAUUGGUGGGAAAAUCUAGUGCGGAUCACUAAUGUGUCAUUGGCUGUACGUGUUGCCAUGCUUCUAGGCGUACACUGGCCGAUGGCACUUGUGUUCCCACAACGUAACUAUGACCGCUGUUCACGAUUCGGCAGUGUUAGUUGGAAGUCCUAGCGAUUUUUGGACCGAAGACUUUGCACAUUGCUGGAUAGGCGCUGCUGCUGCACUAUUCGACUAGCCUGUUGUCGAUGUGUGGGUCAGCAGCCGUUGGACAGUCGAUUUUUCGACCUGAACUCAGACGUGACUACCCGCUGAACUUAAGCAUAUCAGUAAGCGGAGGAAAAGAAACUAACAAGGAUUCCCGUAGUAACGGCGAGUGAACUGGGAUCAGUCCAGCGCUGAAUCGUGGUGCCCCUUGGGUGCCAUGAGGUGUAGCGUAUAGGCGGUACGCUCUGCAUUGUCAGCCGGUUUAAAUCUCCCUUGACUGGGGUUCCAGAGAAGGUGAAAGGCCUGUUCAACCGGACGAUGGUGUGGAUUGUGCUGUCUUGGAGUCGGGUUGUUUGGGAACUCAGCCCAAAGAAGGUGGUAAACUUCAUCUAAGACUAAAUACGGCUACGAAACCGAUAGCAAACAAGUACUGUGAAGGAAAGUUGCAAAGCACUUUGAAGAGAGAGUUAAAGAGGACGUGAAACCGAUAAGGUGGAAACGGAUAGAGCUGACGUAUCUAGCCUGUAUUCAGCCGGCGGUUUGCUCACCGCUAGUCGGUCGGUCCAGCCUUUGGCUGGCUGGCUGGUGGUUGGGCUCUCUGCUGGUGCAUUUGCAGGUGGUGUGCGCUGAGGCUUGCGCCAAGCAGCGGUCGGAAAGUCGCUUUGAGGUCUCCCUUCGGGCGAGAAACCCGGGCUUCUGGAAGAUUGUUUGCUGCGCGAGUAGGCAGGUUCACGGCUAACGGUCCGAGCCGGCGGUUUGUUCUAUCUGGGGUUGGAGUCGCAUGCGACUCUGCCUCGGUGGGGGCUGACCGUUGGUGAGGCCCCGUGACGUCCCUCAGUGUAAAAGUCGGUCAUCUCUCCGACCCGUCUUGAAACACGGACCAAGGAGUUUAACGAGUGCGCGAGUCAUUGAGUGUGAAAACUCAUAGGCGUAAUGAAAGUAAAGGACUCGCUUGUCGAGCUGAUAUGCGAUCCCGGCCGUUUCGGCGGUUGGGCGCAGCAUAGCCCCGUCCCGACUGCUUGCAGUGGGGCGGAGGAAGAGCGUACUCGCUGAGACCCGAAAGAUGGUGAACUAUGCCUGAGCAGGACGAAGCCAGAGGAAACUCUGGUGGAAGUCCGAAGCGGUUCUGACGUGCAAAUCGAUCGUCUGACUUGGGUAUAGGGGCGAAAGACUAAUCGAACCAUCUAGUAGCUGGUUCCCUC
This 1901-nucleotide unclassified non-coding RNA is filed under the name uncultured fungus. RNAcentral's name for it is "sequence contains 18S rRNA gene, ITS1, 5.8S rRNA gene, ITS2, 28S rRNA gene". The stretch from base 777 to 1901 matches the Rfam family "Eukaryotic large subunit ribosomal RNA", at positions 1 to 961 of the family's 3401-position model. The record is from RNAcentral. Lineage: Eukaryota; Fungi.